CCUACGGGAGGCUGCAGUGAGGAAUAUUGGUCAAUGGACGAGAGUCUGAACCAGCCAAGUAGCGUGAAGGAUGACUGCCCUAUGGGUUGUAAACUUCUUUUAUAUGGGAAUAAAACGUUCCACGUGUGGGAUUUUGUAUGUACCAUAUGAAUAAGGAUCGGCUAACUCCGUGCCAGCAGCCGCGGUAAUACGGAGGAUCCGAGCGUUAUCCGGAUUUAUUGGGUUUAAAGGGAGCGUAGGUGGAUUGUUAAGUCAGUUGUGAAAGUUUGCGGCUCAACCGUAAAAUUGCAGUUGAUACUGGCAGUCUUGAGUACAGUAGAGGUGGGCGGAAUUCGUGGUGUAGCGGUGAAAUGCUUAGAUAUCACGAAGAACUCCGAUUGCGAAGGCAGUUCACUGGACUGCAACUGACACUGAGGCUCGAAAGUGUGGGUAUCAAACAGGAUUAGAUACCCUUGUAGUC
This 460-nucleotide ribosomal RNA is filed under the name uncultured bacterium. RNAcentral's name for it is "partial 16S ribosomal RNA". It matches the Rfam family "Bacterial small subunit ribosomal RNA", at positions 338 to 795 of the family's 1533-position model. The record is from RNAcentral.